AACGAACGCUGGCGGCAUGCCUAACACAUGCAAGUCGAACGAGACCUUCGGGUCUAGUGGCGCACGGGUGCGUAACGCGUGGGAACCUGCCCUUAGGUUCGGAAUAACUCCCCGAAAGGGGUGCUAAUACCGGAUAAUGUCUUCGGACCAAAGAUUUAUCGCCUUUGGAUGGGCCCGCGUUGGAUUAGCUAGUUGGUAGGGUAAAAGCCUACCAAGGCGACGAUCCAUAGCUGGUCUGAGAGGAUGAUCAGCCACACUGGGACUGAGACACGGCCCAGACUCCUACGGGAGGCAGCAGUGGGGAAUAUUGGACAAUGGGCGAAAGCCUGAUCCAGCCAUGCCGCGUGAGUGAUGAAGGCCUUAGGGUUGUAAAGCCCUUUUACCCGGGAUGAUAAUGACAGUACCGGGAGAAUAAGCUCCGGCUAACUCCGUG
RNAcentral lists this ribosomal RNA (433 nucleotides) under uncultured bacterium. Its description in RNAcentral is "partial 16S ribosomal RNA". It matches the Rfam family "Bacterial small subunit ribosomal RNA", at positions 29 to 507 of the family's 1533-position model. The record is from RNAcentral.